CCUACGGGAGGCAGCAGUAGGGAAUUUUCGUCAAUGGGCGCAAGCCUGAACGAGCAAUGCCGCGUGAACGAGGAAGGUCUUCGGAUCGUAAAGUUCUGUUGAAGGGGAAAAAGAGCGGAGAGAGGAAAUGCUUUCUGAUUGAUAUUACCCUUCGAGGAAGUCACGGCUAACUACGUGCCAGCAGCCGCGGUAAUACGUAGGUGGCGAGCGUUAUCCGGAAUGAUGGGGCGUAAAGGGUGCGUAGGCGGCCUGCUACGUCUGGAGUGAAAGGUACCGGCUCAACCGGUACAGGCUCUGGAAACUGGCGGGCUAGAGAGCAGGAGAGGGCGGUGGAACUCCAUGUGUAGCGGUAAAAUGCGUAGAUAUAUGGAAGAACAUCAGUGGCGAAGGCGGCCGCCUGGCCUGUUAACUGACGCUGAGGCACGAAAGCGUGGGGAGCAAAUAGGAUUAGAUACCCGUGUAGUC
This 465-nucleotide ribosomal RNA is filed under the name uncultured bacterium. Its description in RNAcentral is "partial 16S ribosomal RNA". It matches the Rfam family "Bacterial small subunit ribosomal RNA", at positions 338 to 795 of the family's 1533-position model. The record is from RNAcentral.